GCUCUUAUGGUGUAAUGAUUAGCACUCUGGACUCUGAAUCCAGCGAUCCGGGUUCAGAUUCCGGUAGGACCU
RNAcentral lists this transfer RNA (72 nucleotides) under Phytophthora infestans T30-4. It matches the Rfam family "tRNA". From Rfam's summary of the family: Transfer RNA (tRNA) molecules are approximately 80 nucleotides in length. Their secondary structure includes four short double-helical elements and three loops (D, anti-codon, and T loops). The record is from Rfam by way of RNAcentral. Lineage: Eukaryota; Oomycota; Peronosporomycetes; Peronosporales; Peronosporaceae.